RNAcentral lists this ribosomal RNA (554 nucleotides) under uncultured archaeon. RNAcentral's name for it is "bacterial SSU rRNA". It matches the Rfam family "Archaeal small subunit ribosomal RNA", at positions 326 to 880 of the family's 1478-position model. The record is from RNAcentral.
CGGGGUGCAGCAGGCGCGAAAACUUUACAAUGCUGGCAACAGCGAUAAGGGGACCUCGAGUGCCAGGUUACAAAUCUGGCUGUCGUGAUGCCUAAAAAGCAUUGCAUAGCAAGGGCCGGGCAAGACCGGUGCCAGCCGCCGCGGUAACACCGGCGGCUCGAGUGGUAACCGUUAUUAUUGGGUCUAAAGGGUCUGUAGCCGGCCGGAUAAGUCUCUUGGGAAAUCCAGCAGCUCAACUGUUGGGCUUUCAGGAGAUACUGUCUGGCUCGAGGCCGGGAGAGGUGAGAGGUACUUCAGGGGUAGGGGUGAAAUCUUGUAAUCCUUGAAGGACCACCAGUGGCGAAGGCGUCUCACCAGAACGGACCUGACGGCAAGGGACGAAAGCUAGGGGCACGAACCGGAUUAGAUACCCGGGUAGUCCUAGCCGUAAACGAUACUCGCUAGGUGUCGGCCACGGUGCGACCGUUGUCGGUGCCGUAGGGAAGCCGUGAAGCGAGCCACCUGGGAAGUACGGCCGCAAGGCUGAAACUUAAAGGAAUUGGCGGGGGAGCACA